ACAUGCAAGUCGAGCGGACAGAAGGGAGCUUGCUCCCGGAUGUUAGCGGCGGACGGGUGAGUAACACGUGGGUAACCUGCCUGUAAGACUGGGAUAACUCCGGGAAACCGGAGCUAAUACCGGAUAGUUCCUUGAACCGCAUGGUUCAAGGAUGAAAGACGGUUUCGGCUGUCACUUACAGAUGGACCCGCGGCGCAUAGCUAGUUGGUGAGGUAAUGGCUCACCAAGGCGACGAUGCGUAGCCGACCUGAGAGGGUGAUCGGCCACACUGGGACUGAGACACGGCCCAGACUCCUACGGGAGGCAGCAGUAGGGAAUCUUCCGCAAUGGACGAAAGUCUGACGGAGCAACGCCGCGUGAGUGAUGAAGGUUUUCGGAUCGUAAAGCUCUGUUGUUAGGGAAGAACAAGUGCGAGAGUAACUGCUUGCACCUUGACGGUACCUAACCAGAAAGCCACGGCUAACUACGUGCCAGCAGCCGCGGUAAUACGUAGGUGGCAAGCGUUGUCCGGAAUUAUUGGGCGUAAAGGGCUCGCAGGCGGUUUCUUAAGUCUGAUGUGAAAGCCCCCGGCUCAACCGGGGAGGGUCAUUGGAAACUGGGAAACUUGAGUGCAGAAGAGGAGAGUGGAAUUCCACGUGUAGCGGUGAAAUGCGUAAGAUGUGGAGGAACACCAGUGGCGAAGCGACUCUCUGGUCUGUAACUGACGCUGAGGAGCGAAAGCGUGGGGAGCGAACAGGAUUAGAUACCCUGGUAGUCCACGCCGUAGACGAUGAGUGCUAAGUGUUAGGGGGUUUCCGCCCCUUAGUCCUGCGGCUAACGCGUUAGGCACUCCGCCUGGAGAGUACGGUCGGCAGGACUGAAGCUCGUAGGAAUUGACGGGGGCCCC
RNAcentral lists this ribosomal RNA (886 nucleotides) under uncultured bacterium. RNAcentral describes it as "bacterial SSU rRNA". It matches the Rfam family "Bacterial small subunit ribosomal RNA", at positions 53 to 923 of the family's 1533-position model. The record is from RNAcentral.